UACGUAGGGAGCAAGCGUUGUUCGGAUUUACUGGGCGUAAAGCGUGCGCAGGCGGUUUUGUAAGCCAGAUGUGAAAGCCCCGGGCUUAACCUGGGAAUGGCAUUUGGGACUGCAAGGCUUGAGUGCGGCAGAGGAGACUGGAAUUCCUGGUGUAGCAGUGAAAUGCGUAGAUAUCAGGAGGAAUACCGAUGGCGAAGGCGGGUCUCUGGGCCGAUACUGACGCUGAGGAGCGAAAGCGUGGGGAGCGAACAGG
Molecule: ribosomal RNA, 253 nt
Filed under: uncultured bacterium
Lineage: Bacteria
Description: partial 16S ribosomal RNA
Rfam family: Bacterial small subunit ribosomal RNA
Source: RNAcentral